UACAGAGGGGGCAAGCGUUAUUCGGAAUUAUUGGGCGUAAAGGGCGCGUAGGCGGCUUUGCAAGUGGAAGGUGAAAUCCCUCGGCUUAACCGAGGAACUGCCCUCCAAACUGCUUGGCUUGAGACCGGGAGAGGUGAGUGGAAUUCCCAGUGUAGCGGUGAAAUGCGUAGAGAUGCGGAGGAACACCGAUGGCGAAGGCAACCCCCUGGGCUGACACUGACGCUCAGGCACGAAAGCGUGGGGAGCAAACAGG
RNAcentral lists this ribosomal RNA (253 nucleotides) under uncultured prokaryote. RNAcentral's name for it is "partial 16S ribosomal RNA". It matches the Rfam family "Bacterial small subunit ribosomal RNA", at positions 524 to 776 of the family's 1533-position model. The record is from RNAcentral.